AGCUUCUCCUCGCCUAACUAAGGGACGCGGGAUAGUAGCCAGGCUCGCGCUUCCGGGGGUGACAGCGGUAACAGUUAUUUAAAUGACAAACCAUUCAACCAAUCAGAGGAAGGAGAGCAACUGGCCAAUGGGGCAAGAAACAUUAUCCUCCUGUCCUGGACCCUACCGGAUCACAUUCAACCCUGGACUAAACAGAUGUAAUUCCUAUUAAAGUAAAUAGUAACUGCAAGCUUAUUACAUGGUUGAAUUUUAUCUAUGUUUUUUAGAGGCUUUAACCCCAACAUACUGACCAAAGUGUUCCUAUUUUGGGUAAAACUGAGGAUUCUACAAUCCUGCACAGAUGGUCUGAGUGAUCAGAAGCUAAUGAGAAUAUUGCUUAUUUGGAUCCUAAACUGCUGAAAGCUGACCAGAUAAUUAAUGGAAGAGCCUUGAUCCAGACUAACACGGCUACCCCUCUGAUAUGUGAUUUAAGUGGACCACAAAAUGGCAGAUUUGGAGAGAAGAAAGGUGAGUAAUAAGGGGAAAAGUGACCUCAAUAUCAGAUAGUCUACAAAGCCAUUUUGCAGGCUCUGUUUGUGCACACUGCACUGAAGAAUGAGGGAAUGGCUGUAGCACCAGAGACUUUCUCUCUCUAUUCUAAGAAUCCCCUCCUCAGAGGCAGGGCCUUUUCCAAGAAGACCUCAUCCUCCCUUCAGAGUUAUCCUGCUAAGGAGUUUAUAAAGCACAUCUCCUUUCAAAUAUCACUGAAAAUGCUUGGAAUCUAUAGAUUCACAAAAGCCUCCUCACUAAAAUCUAGGUUAAUAUAUAACUGAAAUGGUUGUUGUGGAAGAAUUUUCAGGAAAGAACUGCAUUAAAAUAUUUCCUGUUACAGACCAGGAGGGUAAACACAAAAUUCCACACACAAGAACAUCUUCCUCUUUCUCUGAUGAUUCUUUCCAAAGGUAUUAAAAAAAAAACUACAGUGAAAUUUUCAGAAGAGGGAGUGUUAAACUCAGGUUUUAUAUCAUGAAGACUGAUUCUAAUUUAUUAUCAUUCAAGGGAUUUCUUCCUCUUUUCCUGAAGACUGAUUUGUGUUCUAUAUACUGUAGAUUGUACAAUGGGGCUGAUUGAGAUGACCUUAUAAUAGUUUGUUGACACAAUCUUGGACAUACUCAUCUUUUGCUAAAUGAGAUUUCUCUAUGUUAAAGUCAUCACAGAUAAUGAUUCUUGUGUCCCUUGAAAACAUAGUGGUCUUGGAAUGGCUACUUUGGAGAACAACGGAUCAGUUAAUUGAGCUUCCAUAAAUUAUAUUGGGUUUCAACUACAAGUUAGAAAAUUUCUCAUCAGCACUCAUUUAUACCAACUUCCUGACAUUCUGUCACAGCUAUCAUCUUAAAAACCACCACCAACAACAACCCCCAGCCCCUGCCACACACACACUCUCUCUCUCUCUCUUAGAUAUAGAGCUGGACCGCUUAAGAACUUGUGACAAAAGUAGAAAAUUCCUUUUGAAAGGACGGCUUAAAUCAGCAGCCAUUGGCAUGAGGGCCAUAUCCUAUAUCAUAUAGUUACUGCAGGUACCUCCUUAACCUGGAUCUUAUGGUAGUGUUAUUCUCAAAAUGAAGCUAGAAAAGGAGACUAUAAAACAAUUGAAAUCUCUCAAAUCUGCUUGUUCUCCUUCAUAUGAAGCAACUUUCACGAAGUUUGCAAAGUGUUUUGAGAUUCUUGUAUAGAGUAUGCUAGGUAAGUGCCAACAUAUAAUUAUAAUUAUAAUGAUUAUUGCUUUCUUUGCCUCCGAGUAUCUCUAUUAUGUAAAGCCAGGCCCAGUGAAUGUGUAGUUUAGAGCUCUAAAUACUGAUUAAGCUCUUAAGGAAAUUCCUGGAAAAAGCGUGGAAAGAUUGUUCUUUUUGUGAUUCCCUCAGAGAUUCAAGUUACAUUUGAAAAUUCCAAACUAUCACCGGCUGACAAUCUAUAGGCCAUUUGCUGCUACAGACUCCAGGAAAUAGUUCUCUAACUAUUCCAGCUACAGGUCUUUCUUGGCUGUUUGGGGAAAAUAGUCAAUAAUAAUGCUUAACCAACUAUACAGCAUAUUCUAACUUCAAAGUGCUUUACAAAUAUUAAUCUUCACAACUCAACUUUAAAGUAAAUUGUUCUAUUUCUUUUUUACAGAUGAAAGUACUAAGGCAGAAGGAUUAUGGUGUACAUAUUAAAAAGUGCAUAUACAAAAGUAUGCUUGCAUUUCUGUAUGUGUUAAACCUACCUCCUGGGGGAAUUCUGCACCACUGUGCAAUGCAGGAUUUGCACAAAAUUAAUGUUCUGCACAGAGUUUCAUUUUUUCCCCAGAGAAUUGGUGCUGAAGAGCUGCUGGUUGCUGCUAGGAUGUGGGCGGGCUGCAGUUCUCAGGUUUGCUGGUCCUGCUCAGUGACAUAGUGCAGCUGAGAUCCUGUGGGGAGAGGCAAGAGCAAGGCACCGCUGCUUUCUGGGAAGAGAGAGACUGAGAGUAAGGGGAGCGUCUGCAGAGGUGGGGGCGUGACUCAAGUUGUUCCAGGGGCAGCUGAACCUUUAAAUUAUGCGCCCCUCCCCCCAACAGCAGAUACGGGUCGUCUCUGCCUGGUAAGACAGUAAUGAAGCUGUACAGAGCAAAGCCUGCGGCUGGGCUUUGGGGGGGAGAGGCGAAGCAAGCCCCGUGGCUAGGCUGUCAGGAGAGGGGAUGUGGGUGUCUGGCCCUGCAGCUGGGCUCUGGGGGGGGAAAGGGGGUGUGGGUGAUUGGCCUGGAGGGGUCCACGCAGCCCCCUCCAGCACCCCCCAAAUGCCCCCUCCCAGUACACACACACCCCUCCAGCAUCCCCAAAUACCGUCUCCUAGUACUAGAUUGCUAAAAACUUGUGAAUAUUUCAUUGUUGCAUAAUUUUUUACAUGGUUCCAUUUUAUGCAGACUGGAGGCAGCAUGCUUGUGACCCUGAGAGGCCUUACUGGAAGUGCCUCCUGGGAAAGGGUUCACUGUCAUAUAACAGUGUGACCCAGAGCACCCCAGUAUUCACACCCUACAUGAUAUUGUUAUAAUCUUUGUAUCAAAUAUGCCUUGUGAGAUAUCACUUGAAAACUAAUAACUCAUUGAUCAUUAAUAUUCUUGUUAAUGUAUGUAUGCGUUGUGUAUUAAGAGUUAUGGCUAUACAUUGAAAUUAUAAGUAAAAUGUGCUUAAACUAAAACUUAUAACUAAAAUGUGCUUAAAGGGAUGUCAUGGGGAGUUUGUGAACAAGUCUUUCCUAAACAAAGGAAUGUGGGUUUACCUCAAUUUACAUAUACGUAGAAAACAGGACCAUCAAGACAGCACGGAGAGGAGAUUUCAGGAAAAGGAACAAUUUGCCUUUUAGCAAACAUAAGCGGAGGGGUGGGAAACAGCAUGGAGCUUACUUUACCAUGAGAAUCCAUGUCACCUUCCUUACAGCUUGUAUAAACUUUACUUUGAGGUUUAACCCUCAUAAGAAUGAAUUUCAAAGGUUCAUGAGAGUAUAAAAAAAAUACUCAGAAAACCCCAAGUUAUCUCUUCCACCUAAGAAGACAAAAGGUACAGCACUUCUGGGCAUCUGAAAGAGAACCUCACCAAGGUGGGGGUCAGCCACCAUCUUGCUAGAAGACUGUGGAUGAGAAAAACCAUCUUGAACAAAGCCUGUACCUUAGUAAAUUAAGGUUUAGACUUUAGGCGUGUGUUUUCACUUUUAUUUGCUUGUAAUCAUUUCUAACUUCAUCUCUCAUACCUGAACUCACUUAAAAGCCUGUCUUCUUUUGUUAAUAAACUUGAUUUACUAUUAAACUAAGCCAGUUCAAAUAAAUUUGAAUUAAAGUGAA
Long non-coding RNA from Chrysemys picta bellii (western painted turtle), 3829 nucleotides. RefSeq lists it as uncharacterized. The record is from RefSeq and is a predicted model, not a curated record. NCBI's taxonomy places the organism in Eukaryota, Metazoa, Chordata, Testudines, Emydidae.